RNAcentral lists this ribosomal RNA (962 nucleotides) under Microtrichalus sp. BM0100. RNAcentral describes it as "SSU rRNA". It matches the Rfam family "Eukaryotic small subunit ribosomal RNA", at positions 428 to 1344 of the family's 1831-position model. Lineage: Eukaryota; Metazoa; Arthropoda; Insecta; Coleoptera; Lycidae. The record is from RNAcentral.
GCAGGCGCGCAAAUUACCCACUCCCGGCACGGGGAGGUAGUGACGAAAAAUAACGAUACGGGACUCAUCCGAGGCCCCGUAAUCGGAAUGAGAACAAUUUAAAUCCUUUAACGAGGAUCAAUUGGAGGGCAAGUCUGGUGCCAGCAGCCGCGGUAAUUCCAGCUCCAAUAGCGUAUAUUAAAGUUGUUGCGGUUAAAAAGCUCGUAGUCGAAUCUGUGUCCCGCGCCGCCGGUUCGUCGCUCGCGGCGUUUAACUGGCGUGUCCGCGGGACGUCCUGCCGGUGGGCUUAGCCUUUUCAUUAAGGCGGCCCAAUCUUAAUCCCGCCGCGGUGCUCUUCACCGAGUGUCGAGGCGGGCCGGCACGUUUACUUUGAACAAAUUAGAGUGCUUAAAGCAGGCUAAAACUUCGCCUGAAUACUUCGUGCAUGGAAUAAUGGAAUAGGACCUCGGUUCUAUUUUGUUGGUUUUCGGAACCCCGAGGUAAUGAUUAAUAGGAACGGAUGGGGGCAUUCGUAUUGCGACGUUAGAGGUGAAAUUCUUGGAUCGUCGCAAGACGGACAGAAGCGAAAGCAUUUGCCAAAAACGNUUUCAUCGAUCAAGAACGAAAGUUAGAGGUUCGAAGGCGAUCAGAUACCGCCCUAGUUCUAACCAUAAACUAUGCCAGCUAGCGAUCCGCCGANGUUNCUNCUAUGACUCGGCGGGCAGCUUCCGGGAAACCAAAGCUUUNGGGUUCCGGGGGAAGUAUGGUUGCAAAGCUGAAACUUAAAGGAAUUGACGGAAGGGCACCACCAGGAGUGGAGCCUGCGGCUUAAUUUGACUCAACACGGGAAACCUCACCAGGCCCGGACACCGGAAGGAUUGACAGAUUGAGAGCUCUUUCUUGAUUCGGUGGGUGGUGGUGCAUGGCCGUUCUUAGUUGGUGGAGCGAUUUGUCUGGUUAAUUCCGAUAACGAACGAGACUCA